This 557-nucleotide long non-coding RNA is filed under the name Homo sapiens (human). RNAcentral's name for it is "HAND2 antisense RNA 1". Lineage: Eukaryota; Metazoa; Chordata; Mammalia; Primates; Hominidae. The record is from RNAcentral.
AUAAUGCAAGUGUUUAACAGAUGCUUCACUAUUAAAAUAUUUUCCCCCCAAGUCUCAAAUAUUGAAGAAUCUCUAACCAGGCUCGAAACGCCGGUCUCAGUGGCUAUUGAGUUACCCACCAAGUUACCCCGGUUAGAGCUGUUUGGGGUGGCUCACGUUAUUGCGGCAAACUUUGGAGAUGACGGCUGAGUCCUCCGGGCGAACAUGUCAAGCCGAUUGUAAAUGCUGUUAUUUCCACAUCCUUCAGGGACACCAGUCCCUACGAAGACCUUGGGCGAUUUUGAAGUGCGGGCACCUCGAUUCCCCGAAUCUGUAGUGUGGCUGGUAUCGGUGUUCCCCUGGUUUAACUAGCCUGUUUGAAGGCACAGAUCAUUCAUGGGGAUGUAUAACCGAAACCAGUCCUCUCCACCGCCUGGGGAUCUUCACUUUCGCAGUCUACGACUGCCUGUGACUCCAGAAAGACAAACUGCAGAUUGGCCAAGCUGCCUGAAGACCCAGCCCGACAGCGAUGCCUGUCAGCCCGCGUCGCCCACCAGGGCAGCUGCUCUCCCAACUCG